GGAGGAAAGGCUGUAAGCUCAGUGGUAGAGCAACUGCUUUGCAUGCAGAAGGUACCAGGUUCAAUUCCUGGUUUCUUCCA
Non-coding RNA from Podarcis lilfordi (Lilford's wall lizard), 80 nucleotides. NCBI's taxonomy places the organism in Eukaryota, Metazoa, Chordata, Lepidosauria, Squamata, Lacertidae. The record is from the annotation of a GenBank genome assembly.